UACCGUGAAUUAGCAUGUGGUCCCGUGAAACACAGGGAUGCCUCAGUAACGGCGAGUGAAGCGGCAACAGCUCAAAUUUGAAAUCUGGCCCCAGGCCCGAGUUGUAAUUUGCAGAGGAUGCUUUUGGUGCGGUGCCUUCCAAGUUCCCUAGAACGGGACGCCAGAGAGGGUGAGAGCCCCGUACAGUUGGACACCAAGCCUUUGUAAAGCUCCUUCGACGAGUCGAGUAGUUUGGGAAUGCUGCUCAAAAUGGGAGGUAUAUUUCUUCUAAAGCUAAAUACCGGCCAGAGACCGAUAGCGCACAAGUAGAGUGAUCGAAAGAUGAAAAGCACUUUGAAAAGAGGGUUAAACAGCACGUGAAAUUGUUAAAAGGGAAGCGCUUGUGACCAGACUUGCGUCCGGUGAAUCACCCAGCUCUCGCGGCUGGGGCACUUCGCCGGCUCAGGCCAGCAUCAGCUCGCUGUCGGGGACAAAAGCUUCAGGAACGUAGCUCUCUCCGGGGAGUGUUAUAGCCUGUUGCACAAUACCCUUCGGCGGGCUGAGGUACGCGCUCCGCAAGGAUGCUGGCAUAAUGGUCAUCAGCGACCCGUCUUGAAACACGGACCCAAGGGAG
RNAcentral lists this ribosomal RNA (613 nucleotides) under Colletotrichum musae. RNAcentral's name for it is "partial large subunit ribosomal RNA". It matches the Rfam family "Eukaryotic large subunit ribosomal RNA", at positions 1 to 675 of the family's 3401-position model. The record is from RNAcentral. Lineage: Eukaryota; Fungi; Ascomycota; Sordariomycetes; Glomerellales; Glomerellaceae.